RNAcentral lists this long non-coding RNA (156 nucleotides) under Bos indicus x Bos taurus (hybrid cattle). RNAcentral describes it as "lncRNA (ENSBIXG00000028825.1)". The record is from RNAcentral. Lineage: Eukaryota; Metazoa; Chordata; Mammalia; Artiodactyla; Bovidae.
AAAGAGUUUAUUCCAGAUCAGCAAAGACUUGCAAAUUGAGAUCUACAGCCAUGAUGAGCCACAUGCAAGUCUACAGCAAAAAAAUGUGUUUUCCAGUUGGCAGAAGUUAACAAAGAUUAAUGAUGCUAUGCUGCCUACAAGCAUGUAGACCCCAGA